This 253-nucleotide ribosomal RNA is filed under the name uncultured bacterium. RNAcentral describes it as "partial 16S ribosomal RNA". It matches the Rfam family "Bacterial small subunit ribosomal RNA", at positions 524 to 776 of the family's 1533-position model. The record is from RNAcentral.
UACGUAGGGUGCAAGCGUUAAUCGGAAUUACUGGGCGUAAAGCGUGCGCAGGCGGCUUUGCAAGACAGAUGUGAAAUCCCCGGGCUCAACCUGGGAACUGCAUUUGUGACUGCAUGGCUAGAGUACGGCAGAGGGGGAUGGAAUUCCGCGUGUAGCAGUGAAAUGCGUAGAUAUGCGGAGGAACACCGAUGGCGAAGGCAAUCCCCUGGGCCUGUACUGACGCUCAUGCACGAAAGCGUGGGGAGCAAACGGG